Molecule: long non-coding RNA, 5004 nt
Organism: Scophthalmus maximus (turbot)
Lineage: Eukaryota; Metazoa; Chordata; Actinopteri; Pleuronectiformes; Scophthalmidae
Exons: 4
Source: RefSeq, a predicted model, not a curated record
AAAAAACACUUUCAAUGCUGGGAGCUGUGUGUGCAACGACCUGUAAAGGGAAAAAACGUCAUGAAAGGAUUAAGUCAUGAUAUUUUGUUAACUCAUUUUGCCUUCAAGUUGAAAAAAAUAUAUUAUAUAUAUAAUAUCUGUGGGUCAUAGAUGGAACAGAAUUAUCUGUUAACUUUUUCAUUUCAGCGAUGAUCACACUUGCUCCUAGCUCCUAAAUAAAUAAUUUAUCUUCAGAGAAAGUUACGGUGCAGUGUUUGAAAAUGUUUAUGUGCUUAAUUAUACUUAAUGAUUCAUGAACUGGAUAUUCACUACUUAGUUUUUGUCGAUAUAGGGAUCAUUAUGCCUGGACGUUCAAGGCUAGCCGUAAAUGUUUUAUGCAAUUUAUUUAUUUUUUUGUUUCGUUUUUUAAGAAGGCAAUUUCAAAGAAGAGGAUCCCAGGUUCAGCUGAGGCUGGAGGUGGUGGAAGGAAGAGAUAUCUCAUCUUGCUGUAGCAGCAGAUGGGUCAGGACAUGACGAGUGUCAGAACCACAUCGAAAAGCUAAAGAUUUUGAAGAAGAGUUCGAUCUCACUGGGAAAGAGAGAGCAGAAGAGAACAGGAGGAGGGAGCAGCGGUGAUGAAGAGCAGACAGAUUUGAGAGCUUCUGGAGAGGCGAAGACGAGGAGACUAUCAGACCCGGAGACGACUGAAGGAGAGAAAGGGGGAAUGUGGACUGGCAUUACUGCGAGCAUGUAAUUACUGAUAAAGACGAUGACCAGGAAGGACAACGUGGUGUCUUGGCAGAGGCCUUUAACUUCACUCAAGAUGGUCUUCAAAACACUGACACAUGCCCUGUCUGUAUAUUCGGCCUUCUUUCCACAUUUGCACUUGUCCAAACCACUUCUGUAAAUCACAUAAUGGCACUUCUGAUGGACAGUUUUACUACUUCCCUGCUUGCACACGACGCUCAUUGUCAGUAGGGUAGAAGUUGACAAUCCAGAAUCACCUCUGCUUUUACUUAACAAUCCUUCAAUUUGAAAAAAAUCCUCAACAUCUGCAUCAUUCAAAAGCUUCCAUGAUAUACACCAAUAAAUGCACAGUCCACUGAGAAUCUUGCUUCUACUGUACGAUUGCGUCAUAUUUGUAAUAUGGGGCAAAUGAGUGGGUUUCUAAUACUAAAGCCCUGACAGGCAUUUGCUGUCACUUAGUUCAGAUCACAUUAUACAGCCACUUUUUUUUUGCUAAGCAGCUGUCCAGGAGGUUCUCUCGCUGCGUCUGACGAUUAUUUUGCCAAAAGCAAAGCUUCUACAACACUAACAUGUUUAGAGCGAAAACAGAAGUUAGCCUUGUUUACCUGUGUUGCUGAUCCUGCAGUUCUUUCAUGCAGUCCGUAUUUAUGCAUUUAUUUAUGUAUUCUUGCUUUUCCUUUGACCAGAGGGAUGAUGCCACUUUGAUGCCAUCCUUUCAUAGCCUUUACAACAUUCGCAGCGGCAUUUUGACAUAGGUGGGCGGGCCUUUGGGCGGUGCGGGUGCUCUGCACAACUUGGCUGAACGGUCUCCUUUGUGUGCGAGUGUGUGUCCCUAAUUCGGCAGCCGAGCCUAGAAGGCAGAGAGAGGUAGAGAGGAAAAAAAACCUUACUCUCCCAUGGUUUGGCUUUAGCGCCGCAUUGAGAGGCCAUUAUCAGGCCAUGGCAAUAGGGGUGAGGAAGGGGCCUCAGUAAUAGUUUUUAUAGGUUCAGCACUGCCCUGUCUCUGCACCUGGCAUUUAUCACCCCCCGGAGGUGCAGCAAAUGAUUUUAAAUUAAUAAGCAGGUACAGGAUGGGCUGCCUGUGAUGGGGUGGAAUGCCCUGAACAGGGAGGGAUGAAUAACUACCUGCACAGCAUCCAGUCGAGCCUCCCAUUCUGCUCCUCUACUUUUAUGUAUCCAUAUGGCCAAAUCUCUUCUUCUUCUUUUUCUCGGUGUGGCCAUUUAUAGUCUUAGAUGCAUGAGCACAGUGACUAGAUGACUAAAAAUCCAUAAAAAAGCACAAAGACACUACUUACCUUUUCCACAAAGUUGGAUUUUAAAAAACAACAACCAAAAACUGAAACCCAAGCCCUGUGGGUAUCUUGGUCAACUGGCUUACGCAUCAAGGAAUCAGCAAAAUUCUUCUAAAACACAAAGACUCACAAUCUCAGUUGCCUGCUGCACACAGCUUCUGACUGGACCCCCGUGUCUCGCUUCUGUUUAAACGUAUGCCUUGCCUGGCACCAACAGUGACUUAAUUGGUGCUGUUACUUUGCUUAUAUUUAGAAUCAAAUUUUAAUAAUUGCAGUCAAGUUUCAGCACUGUGCACAGUGCUACAUCUCGUACAGAUUCUUAUUCCUUCUUGUUUCGGUCUGUCGUUAAUGAAAGUAUUGCGAAAACUGUCAGUUGUCAGGAUGUCUCUAUGUUACAAAAGAACAAUUUAAUUGUGAUCGUUAUUGAACUAUGUCAGGUCUAUUUUAGGGUCAAUUAACUUGGGUGUUCUUCAGAAAAAAAUAAAAACCAGGAUGACAUUUGAAGCUUAAAGACAAAAAUGUCACGUGAAAUUACCAACCUCAUCUUCGAUUAACUGUUUCAUCUUCCUGAAAAUGCAUAAGUGAACAUGCAGUACCGCAAACAUCACUGUUUUCCAACUUCCAUUGACUGCGGCCCAUUCCCAUGACCAGACCAUUUCAUUCCUGGUUUCAGGUGUUUGGAUGUGGGAAGUCAGAGAGGCAAGGUGGGAGGCUGAAGUAAACAGCAUGUGUGCCUGCAUUUUCAUACGCCCUCAGUCAUCCUGUAAUCCAGUUGGCAAAAUGCCUCGAUACCAGAAGAAAUACGGUUCUUACAUUUUACAAUUCCACCUACACACAUGCGGUCGUACACACAUGAAGGCCCAUGAACUCAAAAAGGCAGCAAACCCGAGAAAAAGAAAACUAUUUUCCAUGAUGCCUUAAAAGAAUAUAUUUGCAUGCAUCCCUACUGGCACAGAGAGAGAUAAAAGAUCGUACAUAAAGUAUGUACAGGGUCCACAGUCUACAACAUACACCAACCAGAAGGGUGGUCGGCCGUCAAGGCUACCAUGUUAAAUAAAUUGGGGAAAAACAGUAACUUAAUAUUGCCCGUUUAUCCGGAUCUGUUCCAAAAUAUAAUGGAACCUUUUAUGGAAAUCGGUUCAGUAGAUUUUGAGUUAUGCUUAUGACACACUAACUAACAAAAAGCAACUUCGACAUAAGCGCCUUGGUCGAGGUAACAGGUACUUUAGCCAUUUUUAACAAACACAUUUCCCUGCUCUUGUGCUUAGUCUAUGGAGAAGUUAAUUCUCUCAAAAUUAAUAGCUCUCUCAAACUUUUGAGUCUCAGUCAUUUCAAUGUUUUAAUCCAUGUCAGAAAAGGAAAUGUCACCACAUUACAAGCUCUGUCGAUAGUUUUCACUAGCAGAGAAAAGCAUUUCCGUAAAGAAACGACUGCAGUCUGUGCUCCAGGGAUGCAUACUGUAGAUUCAUAUCAAAGUUGUGCACCAGAUCAAGACCAAAAGUCUGCAAUCAUGCUAACAGCUCUAUGAAAUUUGAUAUAAGCACAGGAGCGCUUUGUUAGAGCUAACACACUGUUAUUAAAUUGGUAAAAUUAAUGAAUGAAUCAUAGUUUAUUAUAUCACAACCAUGGCUCAAAAGAAUUUCACAAAAGAGGGAGACCACACAUAGUCUAUAAAUAAUGAAAAGUGCAAAUAACAUAAUGCAGAUGCAGUUGUGUCUGUGUGUGUUGAGGAGUGUAACUGUGUGUAUGAGUGUGAAACAGAAGAUACAAAAAAGUACUAUCAGUCAGCAGGCCAGGAGGAGAGACAGAGGGGAUCUUGCAAGUCUGCUUUUUUUUUUUUCCUCCUGAGCCCAGCCUGCCUAGGUGUCCACCCCUCAAUUUCCUGAAGCAAAGAGUACACAGAACCCAGAAUUUCCUCCAACCCGUCUCAGACUGAUAAACUUUUGAUGAAAGUUGAAAUUCUCCCCUUUCAAUUCAGUGUAUGUAAAGAGUUGAAAUCCAUGUUGAAAUGAGUUACCCCAACAGAUUUUUAUUAUCAUAGCAAAAAAGCUAUCCUCCUGGGGGUGAGAAACAUUUGCAUAUAGGCAGGGUGCAACUUGCUGGCGGGGGGGCUUGGGUGGGUGCGUGGAAUUUCCCCCUUUCUGGUCUAUAUAUCCCUGCCUCUGCUGAAUUAUUUGUAUCCGCGGUAGGGACUACAUUUACCCCCCCUCAAAGUGAUCGAUGCUACCUCACCAAGGGGGAUUUAGAUUUUGCAUGUUUUGCUCUGUUGUGCAUGUGUAACAACAGUGGUCAGCCAGUCAAGUUGUUGUGCAGUGCAGUUUGUGUGUGUAAACCUUAACAGACGUGCUAGCAAUGAUCGCCAGUGCCCCUGGGCUUUAGCAUGCUUGGUAGAGGUCGGAGGUCAGGAGUUUGAGGCCAGCCCCCGUUACACAUGAUCCUAUCGCUGCCGCCCCCCCCCCCCCCUCUGUUUUUUUUGUUUUUUUCCACAAAUCGCACCCUGCAUAUAUAAAUUGACCCUUUAUUUACUUGAAAAGACUGCAUCAAUCAAUGCUCAGUUUUGGGAAGGGAAGAAACUAUGAGAAUGUUAAAGAAAAAUAGAUUUGAUAAAUAAAAAAAACAGUCUGUAAAACCUAAGCCCAGUAUUGGCCCAGAACUGCAGGGAGUCCAUUGGAUGGAAGGGGAAAGAGGAUGGAGAGUGGAAGUUAGGGAUGAUGAUGAGCAGAGGUGUUGACUGUGUUUGUUUGUUUUUUUUCCUUUUUUUACCAACACUAAUGAAAAAUGAAUAAAUACAAUUAAAGUUAUCAUCAGCCAUGACAGUCAGGCCCAAAAAAGAGACCCAAAAAGGUCAAAUUCAGUGACACUACCGACUUGCAUUUACAGUUCAUGCUUGAAGACAUCGAGGGUGCCGGCGGUAAAGCCAAUGUUAUUGCCAAGAAACUAAAUAACUGUAAUAAAUGUUUCAGGUAAUAAAAAACAUAAAAUUCAC